RNAcentral lists this ribosomal RNA (797 nucleotides) under uncultured bacterium. Its description in RNAcentral is "bacterial SSU rRNA". It matches the Rfam family "Bacterial small subunit ribosomal RNA", at positions 8 to 794 of the family's 1533-position model. The record is from RNAcentral.
AGAGUUUGAUCAUGGCUCAGAUUGAACGCUGGCGGCAGGCCUAACACAUGCAAGUCGAGCGGUAGCACAAGAGAGCUUGCUCUCUGGGUGACGAGCGGCGGACGGGUGAGUAAUGUCUGGGAAACUGCCUGAUGGAGGGGGAUAACUACUGGAAACGGUAGCUAAUACCGCAUAACGUCUUCGGACCAAAGUGGGGGACCUUCGGGCCUCACGCCAUCAGAUGUGCCCAGAUGGGAUUAGCUAGUAGGUGGGGUAAUGGCUCACCUAGGCGACGAUCCCUAGCUGGUCUGAGAGGAUGACCAGCCACACUGGAACUGAGACACGGUCCAGACUCCUACGGGAGGCAGCAGUGGGGAAUAUUGCACAAUGGGCGCAAGCCUGAUGCAGCCAUGCCGCGUGUGUGAAGAAGGCCUUCGGGUUGUAAAGCACUUUCAGCGAGGAGGAAGGGUAGUGUGUUAAUAGCACAUUGCAUUGACGUUACUCGCAGAAGAAGCACCGGCUAACUCCGUGCCAGCAGCCGCGGUAAUACGGAGGGUGCAAGCGUUAAUCGGAAUUACUGGGCGUAAAGCGCACGCAGGCGGUUUGUUAAGUCAGAUGUGAAAUCCCCGCGCUUAACGUGGGAACUGCAUUUGAAACUGGCAAGCUAGAGUCUUGCAGAGGGGGGUAGAAUUCCAGGUGUAGCGGUGAAAUGCGUAGAGAUCUGGAGGAAUACCGGUGGCGAAGGCGGCCCCCUGGACAAAGACUGACGCUCAGGUGCGAAAGCGUGGGGAGCAAACAGGAUUAGAUACCCCGGUAGU